Molecule: ribosomal RNA, 253 nt
Filed under: uncultured bacterium
Lineage: Bacteria
Description: partial 16S ribosomal RNA
Rfam family: Bacterial small subunit ribosomal RNA
Source: RNAcentral
UACGGAGGAUGCAAGCGUUAUCCGGAAUUAUUGGGCGUAAAGCGUCCGCAGGUGGCUAGACAAGUCUGCUGUCAAAGACUGGAGCUCAACUCCGGGCAGGCGGUAGAAACUGUCGAGCUAGAGAACGGUAGGGGUAAAGGGAAUUCCCAGUGUAGCGGUGUAAUUCGUAGAGAUUGGGAAGAACACCAGUGGCGACGGCGCGCUACCGGGCCGUAACUGACGCUCAGGGACGAAAGCUAGGGGAGCGAAAGGG